This 486-nucleotide ribosomal RNA is filed under the name uncultured bacterium. RNAcentral's name for it is "bacterial SSU rRNA". It matches the Rfam family "Bacterial small subunit ribosomal RNA", at positions 94 to 556 of the family's 1533-position model. The record is from RNAcentral.
AGCGGCGAACGGGUGAGUAACACGUAGGUAAUCUACCUUCGAGACUGGGAUAACCUGUCGAAAGACGGGCUAAUACCGGAUAAGACCACGAAAGCCCAGGCUUUUGUGGCAAAAGAUGGCCUCUGCUUGCAUGCUAUCACUCGGGGAUGAGCCUGCGCGCCAUUAGCUUGUUGGUGGGGUAAAGGCCUACCAAGGCGAAGAUGGCUAGCUGGUCUGAGAGGAUGACCAGCCACACUGGGACUGAGACACGACCCAGACUCCUACGGGAGGCAGCAGUGGGGAAUAUUGCGCAAUGGGCGAAAGCCUGACGCAGCGACGCCGCGUGGGUGAUGAAGGCCUUCGGGUCGUAAAGCCCUGUCGGGAGGGAAGAAACCUCGGCGACCCAAUACGUCGUCGACUUGACGGUACCUCCUAAGGAAGCACCGGCUAACUCCGUGCCAGCCGCCGCGGUAAUACGGAGGGUGCAAGCGUUGUUCGGAAUUACUG